UGGCGGCGUGCCUAAUCAUGNCAGUCGAGCGAACAGAUGAGGAGCUUGCUCCUUUGAUGUUAGCGGCGGACGGGUGAGUAACACGUGGGUAACCUACCUAUAAGACUGGGAUAACUUCGGGAAACCGGAGCUAAUACCGGAUAAUAUUUCGAACCGCAUGGUUCGAUAGUGAAAGAUGGCUCUGCUAUCACUUAUAGAUGGACCUGCGCCGUAUUAGCUAGUUGGUAAGGUAACGGCUUACCAAGGCAACGAUACGUAGCCGACCUGAGAGGGUGAUCGGCCACACUGGAACUGAGACACGGUCCAGACUCCUACGGGAGGCAGCAGUAGGGAAUCUUCCGCAAUGGGCGAAAGCCUGACGGAGCAACGCCGCGUGAGUGAUGAAGGUCUUCGGAUCGUAAAACUCUGUUAUUAGGGAAGAACAAACGUGUAAGUAACUGUGCACGUCUUGACGGUACCUAAUCAGAAAGCCACGGCUAACUACGUGCCAGCAGCCGCGGUAAU
Molecule: ribosomal RNA, 504 nt
Filed under: uncultured bacterium
Lineage: Bacteria
Description: bacterial SSU rRNA
Rfam family: Bacterial small subunit ribosomal RNA
Source: RNAcentral